UGCGUAGGUGGUUAAUUAAGUUAUCUGUGAAAUCCCUGGGCUCAACCUGGGCAGGUCAGAUAAAACUGUUUAACUCGAGUAUGGGAGAGGGUAGUGGAAUUUCCGGUGUAGCGGUGAAAUGCGUAGAGAUCGGAAGGAACACCAGUGGCGAAGGCGGCUACCUGGCCUGAUACUGACACUGAGGCACGAAAGCGUGGGGAGCAAACA
Molecule: ribosomal RNA, 207 nt
Filed under: uncultured bacterium
Lineage: Bacteria
Description: partial 16S ribosomal RNA
Rfam family: Bacterial small subunit ribosomal RNA
Source: RNAcentral